GAUGAAGAACGUAGCGAAAUGCGAUACUUGGUGUGAAUUGCAGAAUCCCGUGAACCAUCGAGUCUUUGAACGCAAGUUGCGCCCGAAGCCAUCAGGUUGAGGGCACGUCUGCCUGGGCGUCACAUAUCGUUGCCCAAUGCCUAUUGCAGUGCAAUAGGAAUUUCUAGGGCGAAUGAUGGCUUCCCGUGAGCGUUGUUGCCUCGCGGUUGGUUGAAAAUCGAGUCCUUGGUAGGGUGUGCCAUGGUAGAUGGUGGUCGAGUUAGAACGAUACCGAUCAUGUGCAUGCUCCCCAAAAUAUGGCCGCUAUGACCCACACGCGUCUUUUGACGCUCAUGACGAGACCUCAGGUCAGGCGGGGCUACCCGCUGAAUUUAAGCAUAUCAAUAAGCGGAGGA
Molecule: unclassified non-coding RNA, 395 nt
Filed under: soil metagenome
Description: partial contains 5.8S ribosomal RNA, internal transcribed spacer 2, and large subunit ribosomal RNA
Rfam family: 5.8S ribosomal RNA (bases 1-122)
Source: RNAcentral